GGGUGAUUGCUUAGUGGUAGAACACAGUCUGAAUGGGUAAGAUCCCAGAUUCAAUCCCUGGAUCUCCCA
Molecule: non-coding RNA, 69 nt
Organism: Phrynosoma platyrhinos (Desert horned lizard)
Lineage: Eukaryota; Metazoa; Chordata; Lepidosauria; Squamata; Phrynosomatidae
Source: the annotation of a GenBank genome assembly